RNAcentral lists this ribosomal RNA (461 nucleotides) under Variovorax paradoxus. RNAcentral's name for it is "bacterial SSU rRNA". It matches the Rfam family "Bacterial small subunit ribosomal RNA", at positions 61 to 517 of the family's 1533-position model. The record is from RNAcentral. Lineage: Bacteria; Pseudomonadati; Pseudomonadota; Betaproteobacteria; Burkholderiales; Comamonadaceae.
GUCGAACGGCAGCGCGGGAGCAAUCCUGGCGGCGAGUGGCGAACGGGUGAGUAAUACAUCGGAACGUGCCCAAUCGUGGGGGAUAACGCAGCGAAAGCUGUGCUAAUACCGCAUACGAUCUACGGAUGAAAGCAGGGGAUCGCAAGACCUUGCGCGAAUGGAGCGGCCGAUGGCAGAUUAGGUAGUUGGUGAGGUAAAGGCUCACCAAGCCUUCGAUCUGUAGCUGGUCUGAGAGGACGACCAGCCACACUGGGACUGAGACACGGCCCAGACUCCUACGGGAGGCAGCAGUGGGGAAUUUUGGACAAUGGGCGAAAGCCUGAUCCAGCCAUGCCGCGUGCAGGAUGAAGGCCUUCGGGUUGUAAACUGCUUUUGUACGGAACGAAACGGCCUUUUCUAAUAAAGAGGGCUAAUGACGGUACCGUAAGAAUAAGCACCGGCUAACUACGUGCCAGCCGCCG